Molecule: long non-coding RNA, 263 nt
Filed under: Carica papaya (papaya)
Lineage: Eukaryota; Viridiplantae; Streptophyta; Magnoliopsida; Brassicales; Caricaceae
Description: long non-coding RNA (CPAP_LNC013752)
Source: RNAcentral
CCUGCAACAGAAAGUUUAAGAUAACACAUACACAGAGUAGGCAAAAAUUCUCCUGUGUAGGCAAAAAGUAAAUCAAUCCAAUCAAAGCACUCGUGAUUAUAGGCCUGAAAAAGGGAAAGCGCAUAGGUCACUCAGAGUCGCAGAAGACAAGUGAAAAGUCUAUCGAAGUUUCACCGUUUUGAAAUAAUUCGUUCCUUUCACAUUCGUUCGAGCUGCUUCGCUCCUUUGCGGUAAUGAUUACCCCUUUUAGAGCGUAUAGGGAG